Long non-coding RNA from Daucus carota subsp. sativus, 3940 nucleotides. RefSeq lists it as uncharacterized. NCBI's taxonomy places the organism in Eukaryota, Viridiplantae, Streptophyta, Magnoliopsida, Apiales, Apiaceae. The transcript has 5 exons. The record is from RefSeq and is a predicted model, not a curated record.
UGACCUGGAUUUUCAAAAAUUAUUUUAUUAUUUUUAUUCCUGAUUUUUUUCAGAAAAUUUGGAAUAAAAUUUAAUAUGUUACUCUAGUUUGACAAUUUUUACGUAUCAGUUCAAAUUAUUUUUCGGGACAUUAGGGGUAUCAAAAUUUUAUUGUUUGUUCAAAUUAAAUGUCAUGUUAAAUAUGUGAAUUACUUGUUAUAUGAUUUAAUUGUUUAUUUGGAUGUGAUUUAUGCCUGUGUGCAUGUUUGUUACUAAUUAUUGUGUUGUUUUAGAAAUAUUUAUAAUUUUCUUAAAAAAAUAGAUUUUUGGGAAAAUGAAUUCUUGAAAAUAUGAAAGUGAUUUUAAAAAAUUCUUUUAAUUAUUUGAUAAUGAUAAUAAAUAUUUUUACGAGAUUUAUAAAAAUAUCUCGGUGAUGUUUUGAAAAUAUUUUGUGGCAAGUUAUACCGUAAAUUGUUAAAAAACGGGUUACAAUUUCAAGCACCGCCUAUGUAUAUACACAAACAACAGUUCCUCUCUGUAUAGUCUCCCUCCCUCUCCUAAGUCUCUCUCAUCUCUUUCAAUGUCUACCGACUCUGUCUCUCACUCCAACAACAGUAUUGCUCCGCUUUCCCCCGAUAGUCGCCGUCGUGUGGCCACCGCCGCCGUCCUGUUUUACGAGCCACUGUUGAAUCAUCCCGCAGCAACGCCUUCGAUUUCAAUUGAGUCGACUAAGACAUGCUUGGCAAGUACACUCAAAAGUAGUCGUAGAGUUCAGGAUAACCCGAUAAGGCGAAGUUGCUCCAAGAGAUUGUCUAUCAGAGUAUAGUCAGUACGGAAGUUCGCAGUAUUGAGGCAAGAAUAAAGAUGAUUCACUUAAGACUAGACAAGGAUUGCAAGUGGUUAAGUUUCAAGCAAAUGGUCAGGUAGAGUAUGCAGGACGAUGUCAUUAAGACUAGAUGCAGUUGGAGUUCUGCAAUUCAAUUCAGUUGGAAAUUAGAUUUGUUUAUUUGGUUAUCAGCUACUCUUCUUAUCAAGGUUUAGCUGAUAAUGUAGUUUAAUUUGUAAUAAAGAUUUAAUAGUUUUAGUUUCUGAUUUCAAUACUGUAAUCUGUAUGCGAUCCUGUUUUCAGGGGGUGAAAUUGAUUUUCAAUUUGAAUCAUUUUUUAAAAAAAAUAUCCAGGUUCUGAAAUACUUGUUUUUAUUUUCUUUCAAAAAUACUGGUUUUAAAUUAUUUUUAUUUACUCGUGGCACCAAAUCCAGACCCCCGGAUUUGAGGGCUGUCACAGUUGGUAUCAGAGCUACAGGUUAUAAGUUAUUGAAAUCAGAGUGUAGGUUGUUAUUAUUGGUUAAAUAAAGAGAACACGUGUAACCUCACAUAGAGGUAUCGUAAGACUAUUUGGGGAUAGUCCUUCUGAGCAGAAUAAAAUGAAGCUAGAGGAUUAAGUUUCAGUUUUUAUACUUAUAGACAUGACAAGUCCUAAAUCUAGUUCUUCUAGUCCCUAGUAUAUUGACCAAUUCAGAGUUAUAUCAUUCUAAGAGGGUCAAAGUUAGACCUAUCAGAAGAACCUUCAAGUUAGAAGUAGUUGAGGUCAGACCCGUAGAGAUUCUCACACAGUCUAAUGUAUCAUUUAUUGUAUAUGCCAAGUGUUGAGCAUUGAUCGGAGAGUCACUUUUUUUUUAUUCUUAUCAGAGAUAUAUGGAAUUGGUGAAAGAAUAUAGGUGUUAUCAUGUCUGAGUUUAAAGCUUUGUGUAUAGUUAAGUAGUGAGCGUUAGAGCUAUGUAGAGUUCAUGUUAGAUUACUCGACUUAGUAUCAAUGAGUGAGUUAAGACGUCAACGCUUUAUGGUGAUGAUUGUAUAAAGUUGGGUAAGGCCUCUGACCGACAACGAUAUCGAUGAUGGGAUCUUCAGAGGCUAUUAUGAGUCAACGGUAAUAUAUGAAAGUGAUCACUAAGAACGUCGAGAAGAAUUGUUAGAAUCAAAACGAGUCAUCAAAGGAAUCGAUCAAGAAGACACCUGUGAGAAUCCUGGCAAUACCUUUCUCAUUGUUGAUUAUAUUGAUUAUUUUCCUAAUCAGUGAAUUAUUUUAACAUUCCUUUCAUAAAGAUGUUCGUUGACAAGCAUAUAUCCUCCCUCUUGACUUAUAGGAGGAUGCAUGUAUUCAUUUUAUCCUUUCUGAUUAUUCUUUUCAUUGAGACUAGCACCGUUUGAACAUAUUUGAGUUUUGCCCAAAUUGUGCGUCAGAUUUUGAAUCGUCUUGAUUGGUUAAAAGACAAUAAUUAUUCAACUCAUUCUGAAUCGCUUCCAUGUAUCUGUACUCUAACUGAGAUGAACAACCCUACCUAUAGGGGACACAAGGACUCUCUGUCUGUGUGAUAGAAGUUUGAUGGGACGCCAUCACUUGUGUGUGUUGUACAUUACAAGAAGGUUAACUACCUUUAGUAGUGUCUUAAUCAAGACACACAACACUAGUUCAUUAGAUUAUAUUGAUCUCUCAGUUACUCUUUUAUUUCAAUCACGUAACAUUUGCUCUAAUAGAUAUAUUCUUUCAUAUUUUUUAUCUUCAAGAUUCUUGUAUCUCUAAUAGUUGAAGGUAUGCCAUCUGAGUUGCCAAGAUAAAUUAAGCCUUUAUAGUAGGAAGUAACAUGAACAAAAGCGGAUGAUGAUACAGAUCUAUGGAAACAAUCAAGAGAAUUUUAUAUGAGAAAGGAGUAUUAGGAAUUGAAGAUAUCAUACGCUGUGGUUUUCUUUUCGCUGAUUCCGAGGACGGAAUCCUUUUAAGGGGGGUAGAUUGUGAUGACCUGGAUUUUCAAAAAUUAUUUUAUUAUUUUUAUUCCUGAUUUUUUUCAGAAAAUUUGGAAUAAAAUUUAAUAUGUUACUCUAGUUUGACAAUUUUUACGUAUCAGUUCAAAUUAUUUUUCGGGACAUUAGGGGUAUCAAAAUUUUAUUGUUUGUUCAAAUUAAAUGUCAUGUUAAAUAUGUGAAUUACUUGUUAUAUGAUUUAAUUGUUUAUUUGGAUGUGAUUUAUGCCUGUGUGCAUGUUUGUUACUAAUUAUUGUGUUGUUUUAGAAAUAUUUAUAAUUUUCUUAAAAAAAUAGAUUUUUGGGAAAAUGAAUUCUUGAAAAUAUGAAAGUGAUUUUAAAAAAUUCUUUUAAUUAUUUGAUAAUGAUAAUAAAUAUUUUUACGAGAUUUAUAAAAAUAUCUCGGUGAUGUUUUGAAAAUAUUUUGUGGCAAGUUAUACCGUAAAUUGUUAAAAAACGGGUUACAAUUUCAAGCACCGCCUAUGUAUAUACACAAACAACAGUUCCUCUCUGUAUAGUCUCCCUCCCUCUCCUAAGUCUCUCUCAUCUCUUUCAAUGUCUACCGACUCUGUCUCUCACUCCAACAACAGUAUUGCUCCGCUUUCCCCCGAUAGUCGCCGUCGUGUGGCCACCGCCGCCGUCCUGUUUUACGAGCCACUGUUGAAUCAUCCCGCAGCAACGCCUUCGAUUUCAAUUGAGUCGACUAAGACAUGCUUGGCAAGUACACUCAAAAGUAGUCGUAGAGUUCAGGAUAACCCGAUAAGGCGAAGUUGCUCCAAGAGAUUGUCUAUCAGAGUAUAGUCAGUACGGAAGUUCGCAGUAUUGAGGCAAGAAUAAAGAUGAUUCACUUAAGACUAGACAAGGAUUGCAAGUGGUUAAGUUUCAAGCAAAUGGUCAGGUAGAGUAUGCAGGACGAUGUCAUUAAGACUAGAUGCAGUUGGAGUUCUGCAAUUCAAUUCAGUUGGAAAUUAGAUUUGUUUAUUUGGUUAUCAGCUACUCUUCUUAUCAAGGUUUAGCUGAUAAUGUAGUUUAAUUUGUAAUAAAGAUUUAAUAGUUUUAGUUUCUGAUUUCAAUACUGUAAUCUGUAUGCGAUCCUGUUUUCAGGGGGUGAAAUUGAUUUUCAAUUUGAAUCAUUUUUUAAAAAAAAUAUCCAGGUUCUGAAA